UCCCUGAUAGUCCAAUGGUUAGGACUCUGUGCUCUCACUGCUGAGGGCCUGGGUUCGAUACCUGGUCAGGGAA
This 73-nucleotide transfer RNA is filed under the name Bos taurus (domestic cattle). It matches the Rfam family "tRNA". From Rfam's summary of the family: Transfer RNA (tRNA) molecules are approximately 80 nucleotides in length. Their secondary structure includes four short double-helical elements and three loops (D, anti-codon, and T loops). Further hydrogen bonds mediate the characteristic L-shaped molecular structure. tRNAs have two regions of fundamental functional importance: the anti-codon, which is responsible for specific mRNA codon recognition, and the 3' end, to which the tRNAs corresponding amino acid is attached (by aminoacyl-tRNA synthetases). tRNAs cope with the degeneracy of the genetic code in two manners: having more than one tRNA (with a specific anti-codon) for a particular amino acid; and 'wobble' base-pairing, i.e. permitting non-standard base-pairing at the 3rd anti-codon position. RNAcentral also lists the same sequence under 2 other names. Lineage: Eukaryota; Metazoa; Chordata; Mammalia; Artiodactyla; Bovidae. The record is from Rfam by way of RNAcentral.